UCAAGUAAUGAAGUGCACAUGGUGGAUGCCUUGGCAGUCAGAGGCGAUGAAAGACGUGUGAGCCUGCGAAAAGCUUCGGGGAGGCGGCAACAAUCCUGUGAUCCGGAGAUGUCUGAAUGGGGGAACCCACUUACCGUAAGGUAGGAAUUGCAACAUGAAUACAUAGUGUUGCAAAGCGAACGCGGGGAAGUGAAACAUCUCAGUACCCGUAGGAAUAGAAAUCAAUUGAGAUUCCCUCAGUAGCGGCGAGCGAACAGGGAUCAGCCCAUUAAGUCUAUAGCGUUUUAGUGGAACGGAUUGGAAACUCCGGCCAUAGUAGGUGAUAGCCCUGUACACGAAAGGGCGCUAUAGAUGAAUUGAGUAGGGCGAGGCACGAGAAACCUUGUCUGAAUAUGGGGGGACCAUCCUCCAAGGCUAAAUACUCCUGACUGACCGAUAGUGAACCAGUACCGUGAGGGAAAGGCGAAAAGAACCCCUGUGAGGGGAGUGAAAUAGAUCCUGAAACCGUGUGCAUACAAGCAGUAGGAGCGGACUUGUUCCGUGACUGCGUACCUUUUGUAUAAUGGGUCAGCGACUUAUAUUCUGUAGCAAGGUUAACCGUAUAGGGGAGCCGUAGGGAAACCGAGUCUGAAUAGGGCGUAUAGUUGCAGGGUAUAGACCCGAAACCGAGUGAUCUAUCCAUGAGCAGGAUGAAGGUGCCGUAACAGGCACUGGAGGUCCGAACCCACCGUCGUUGAAAAGCCGGGGGAUGACUUGUGGAUAGGGGUGAAAGGCUAAUCAAACUCGGUGAUAGCUGGUUCUCCCCGAAAGCUAUUUAGGUAGCGCCUCGGACGAAUACCACUGGGGGUAGAGCACUGUUUCGGCUAGGGGGUCAUCCCGACUUACCAAACCGAUGCAAACUCCGAAUACCAGUGAGUACUAUCCGGGAGACAGACUGCGGGUGCUAACGUCCGUAGUCAAGAGGGAAACAACCCAGACCGCCAGCUAAGGCCCCAAAUUUCUAGUUAAGUGGGAAACGAUGUGGGAAGGCAUAGACAGCUAGGAGGUUGGCUUAGAAGCAGCCAUCCUUUAAAGAAAGCGUAAUAGCUCACUAGUCGAGUCGGCCUGCGCGGAAGAUGUAACGGGGCUCAAACUAGAAGCCGAAGCUGCGGAUUUGAACUUGUUUCAAGUGGUAGGGGAGCGUUCUGUAAGUCUGUGAAGGUGUGUUGAGAAGCAUGCUGGAGAUAUCAGAAGUGCGAAUGCUGACGUGAGUAACGAUAAUGAGUGUGAAAAACAUUCACGCCGAAAGACCAAGGGUUCCAGUCCAACGUUAAUCGGGGCUGGGUUAGUCGACCCCUAAGGCGAGGCAGAAAUGCGUAGUCGAUGGGAAAUCGGUUAAUAUUCCGAUACUUCUACAUAAUGCGAUGAGGGGACGGAGAAGGUUAAGUCAGCCUGGCGUUGGUUGUCCAGGUGGAAGGUGGUAGGCAUGAGUCUUAGGCAAAUCCGGGACUCUUUAUGCUGAGAGCCGAUAGCAAGCUGUACUUGUACAGCGAAGUGACUGAUACCAAGCUUCCAGGAAAAGCCUCUAAGCUUCAGUUAUGUAGGAAUCGUACCCGAAACCGACACAGGUGGUCAGGUCGAGUAGACCAAGGCGCUUGAGAGAACUCUGCUGAAGGAACUAGGCAAAAUGGUACCGUAACUUCGGGAGAAGGUACGCUGCUGUUGGUUAUAGGACUUGCUCCUAGAAGCUGAUGGCAGCCUCAGAAACCAGGCCGCUGCAACUGUUUAUUAAAAACACAGCACUCUGCAAACACGAAAGUGGACGUAUAGGGUGUGAUGCCUGCCCGGUGCCGGAAGGUUAAUUGAUGGGGUUAGCGAAAGCGAAGCUCUUGAUCGAAGCCCCGGUAAACGGCGGCCGUAACUAUAACGGUCCUAAGGUAGCGAAAUUCCUUGUCGGGUAAGUUCCGACCUGCACGA
RNAcentral lists this ribosomal RNA (1956 nucleotides) under metagenome. RNAcentral describes it as "bacterial LSU rRNA". It matches the Rfam family "Bacterial large subunit ribosomal RNA", at positions 3 to 1995 of the family's 2925-position model. The record is from RNAcentral.